This 253-nucleotide ribosomal RNA is filed under the name uncultured bacterium. RNAcentral describes it as "partial 16S ribosomal RNA". It matches the Rfam family "Bacterial small subunit ribosomal RNA", at positions 524 to 776 of the family's 1533-position model. The record is from RNAcentral.
UACGUAGGGCGCAAGCGUUGUCCGGAAUUAUUGGGCGUAAAGAGCUCGUAGGCGGUCUGUCGCGUCGGAUGUGAAAAUCCAGGGCUCAACCCUGGACCUGCAUUCGAUACGGGCAGACUAGAGUUCGGCAGGGGAGACUGGAAUUCCUGGUGUAGCGGUGAAAUGCGCAGAUAUCAGGAGGAACACCGGUGGCGAAGGCGGGUCUCUGGGCCGAUACUGACGCUGAGGAGCGAAAGCGUGGGGAGCAAACAGG